UACGGAGGGUGCAAGCGUUGCUCGGAAUUAUUGGGCGUAAAGGGUAGGUAGGUGGUCUCAUUUGUCUGGGGUGAAAGCCUUGAGCUUAACUCAAGAAGUGCCCCAGAAACGGUGAGACUAGAGUUCUGGAGAGGGUCGUGGAAUUCCCGGUGUAGCGGUGAAAUGCGUAGAGAUCGGGAGGAACACCAGAGGCGAAGGCGGCGACCUGGACAGAUACUGACACUCAACUACGAAAGCGUGGGGAGCAAACGGG
This 253-nucleotide ribosomal RNA is filed under the name uncultured bacterium. RNAcentral describes it as "partial 16S ribosomal RNA". It matches the Rfam family "Bacterial small subunit ribosomal RNA", at positions 524 to 776 of the family's 1533-position model. The record is from RNAcentral.